Molecule: ribosomal RNA, 475 nt
Filed under: uncultured Fusobacteriaceae bacterium
Lineage: Bacteria; Fusobacteriati; Fusobacteriota; Fusobacteriia; Fusobacteriales; Fusobacteriaceae
Description: bacterial SSU rRNA
Rfam family: Bacterial small subunit ribosomal RNA
Source: RNAcentral
GAGUUUGAUCCUGGCUCAGGAUGAACGCUGACAGAAUGCUUAACACAUGCAAGUCUAUUCGAGCCUUCGGGCAAGGAUGGCGGACGGGUGAGUAACGCGUAAAGAACUUGCCCUGCAGUUCGGGACAACAUUCGGAAACGGAUGCUAAUACCGGAUAUUAUGCUCGGAUCGCAUGAUCUGAGUAUGAAAGCUAUAUGCGCUGCAGGAGAGCUUUGCGUCCUAUUAGUUAGUUGGUGAGGUAACGGCUCACCAAGACAGCGAUAGGUAGCCGGCCUGAGAGGGUGAACGGCCACAAGGGGACUGAGACACGGCCCUUACUCCUACGGGAGGCAGCAGUGGGGAAUAUUGGACAAUGGACCAAAAGUCUGAUCCAGCAAUUCUGUGUGCACGAUGAAGUUUUUCGGAAUGUAAAGUGCUUUCAGUUGGGACGAAGAACGUGACGGUACCAACAGAAGAAGCGACGGCUAAAUACGUG